CACCGGAGAGACUAUCCUGAAGGAUGGCGCCGAAGGGGUAUCGCCCCAGAAACUCUCAGGCAAAAGGACGGUGCA
RNAcentral lists this non-coding RNA (75 nucleotides) under uncultured Aquitalea sp. RNAcentral's name for it is "Glycine riboswitch". It matches the Rfam family "Glycine riboswitch aptamer", at positions 9 to 86 of the family's 94-position model. From Rfam's summary of the family: This family represents the bacterial glycine riboswitch. Glycine riboswitches usually consist of two metabolite-binding aptamers domains with similar structures in tandem. The record is from RNAcentral. Lineage: Bacteria; Pseudomonadati; Pseudomonadota; Betaproteobacteria; Neisseriales; Chromobacteriaceae.